This 466-nucleotide ribosomal RNA is filed under the name uncultured bacterium. RNAcentral describes it as "partial 16S ribosomal RNA". It matches the Rfam family "Bacterial small subunit ribosomal RNA", at positions 339 to 795 of the family's 1533-position model. The record is from RNAcentral.
CUACGGGUUGCAGCAGUGGGGAAUAUUGGACAAUGGGGGAAACCCUGAUCCAGCAAUGCCGCGUGUGUGAAGAAGGCCUGCGGGUUGUAAAGCACUUUCGGUUGGGAGGACUGCUUCUAGCACUAAUAUUGUUGGAAGUUGACGUUACCUUCAGAAGAAGCACCGGCUAACUCCGUGCCAGCAGCCGCGGUAAUACGCGAGGGUGCAAGCGUUAAUCGGAAUUACUGGGCGUAAAGCGCGCGUAGGCGGCUAGAUCAGUCGGGUGUGAAAGCCCCGGGCUUAACCUGGGAACUGCAUCCGAUACUGUCUAGCUUGAGUACAGGAGAGGAGAGUGGAAUUCCACAUGUAGCGGUGAAAUGCGUAGAUAUGUGGAGGAACACCAAUGGCGAAGGCAGCUCUCUGGCCUGAUACUGACGCUGAGGUGCGAAAGCGUGGGGAGCAAACAGGAUUAGAUACCCGGGUAGUC